UUAGUAGUAACAAAGCUCUAGCAAGAGCCUACCAGGUCGAGAGGUCGAGAGUGAUAUCGACUCUGAAGUCGGGAAGGUGUGCUAAUUCUGCUUCCUCAGAGCCUCGAAGGCUGACAA
RNAcentral lists this non-coding RNA (117 nucleotides) under Picochlorum sp. RCC944. Lineage: Eukaryota; Viridiplantae; Chlorophyta; Trebouxiophyceae. The record is from RNAcentral.